CCUACGGGGGGCUGCAGUAAGGAAUAUUGGUCAAUGGACGAAAGUCUGAACCAGCCAUCCCGCGUGCAGGAUGAAAGCCCUAUGGGUUGUAAACUGCUUUUAGCAGAGAAGCAAAGCUUCCAUUUAUGGGGGUCUGACGGUAUCUGCAGAAUAAGCACCGGCUAACUCCGUGCCAGCAGCCGCGGUAAUACGGAGGGUGCGAGCGUUAUCCGGAAUAACUGGGUUUUAGGGGUGGGUAGUAGUAGUAUUAGAAAUCUUGUCGCAUAAAGAUAAAAUUGCCAAUGAUACUGGUACUCUUGAAUUGGGUUGAGGUUAGCGGAAUGUGACAUGUAGCGGUGAAAUGCAUAGAUAUGUCAUGGAACACCAAUUGCGAAGGCAGCUAACUGGGCCUUGAUUGACGCUGAGGCACGAAAGCGUGGGUAGCGAACAGGAUUAGAUACCCUUGUAGUC
Molecule: ribosomal RNA, 450 nt
Filed under: uncultured bacterium
Lineage: Bacteria
Description: partial 16S ribosomal RNA
Rfam family: Bacterial small subunit ribosomal RNA
Source: RNAcentral